This 253-nucleotide ribosomal RNA is filed under the name uncultured bacterium. RNAcentral's name for it is "partial 16S ribosomal RNA". It matches the Rfam family "Bacterial small subunit ribosomal RNA", at positions 524 to 776 of the family's 1533-position model. The record is from RNAcentral.
UACGUAGGGUGCGAGCGUUGUCCGGAAUUACUGGGCGUAAAGAGCUCGUAGGUGGUUUGUCGCGUUGUUCGUGAAAACUCACAGCUUAACUGUGGGCGUGCGGGCGAUACGGGCAGACUGGAGUACUGCAGGGGAGACUGGAAUUCCUGGUGUAGCGGUGGAAUGCGCAGAUAUCAGGAGGAACACCGGUGGCGAAGGCGGGUCUCUGGGCAGUAACUGACGCUGAGGAACGAAAGCGUGGGUAGCAAACAGG